GGAGGACAUACAAGUAGAGAGAUACUAUAGAGCAGAGAAACAGCAUCACCAUGAUCGCAAAGAUUUGUGUCAUCAUUAUUCUUUUUGUUGUCUACUGCAACGCACAGAGUGUACCUGUAAUUGCUUCAACAACAACCACAACUGCAGCAACAAACACCACAGCUGCUCCAACAACAACCACAACUGCAGCAACAAACACCACAGCUGCUCCAACAACGACC
Long non-coding RNA from Oreochromis aureus, 221 nucleotides. RefSeq lists it as uncharacterized. The record is from RefSeq and is a predicted model, not a curated record. Lineage: Eukaryota; Metazoa; Chordata; Actinopteri; Cichliformes; Cichlidae. The transcript is spliced from 3 exons.